Chiloscyllium plagiosum (whitespotted bambooshark) is the source of this 1078-nucleotide non-coding RNA. Lineage: Eukaryota; Metazoa; Chordata; Chondrichthyes; Orectolobiformes; Hemiscylliidae. The record is from RefSeq and is a predicted model, not a curated record.
UGAAAAUUCACACGUAAAAGUGAACUUCCUUUCCUUUAUCUUAUCAGUUAUGUUUAUUUUUGAAUCCAGAAGUGCUCUUAUACAACCAAACGGUUGUUGUCUACCACCAAAUCAUCCGUAGUGUAUUUUAUUUCAUCAGUUAAUUACCACUAAUAAAUCUCCAAUGUUUUCCAAUUAAUUACUUUAAGCGCUAGGCCCGUUGAGUACAUGAGUUUGCUAAUAGUUCAUAACUUCUCGUCUUCGGUUACUUUCGCAAUUUACUGUAAUCUCAAUUUGUCACCUGCAAAUUUCCUGGUACGGUAUUCGAGUUCCAACAUGUGGAAUAUUCAGAUAUAGAUACAUUUCAUUUAAUUGAUAUAUCAACAUUUCAGAUCUGCAACUACUGAUUCUGACAGCGACAUUAUUCUCAGGGGACGUGUAAAAUUUCUGCAGUGCCUGUUCUUUGUUCCAGUCACGACACAAUUCAGUGGAGGAUUUGAGUUAUUGCUGUGCGAAUCUCUCUCAGACAGCAAGUUAACUUGACUUCAGACGUUUGAACUUCCCUUGGGAAGCAGUAAAUUACUGCGGGAUUCGAAACUAAAUUGAUGCGGAGUCUUUUGGGAGAGGUUAGCUCUGAGAGUUCAUGAUGUUGCUCUUUAUCGUAACAUUGAAUACACGUUAAGCACAUCGCCACUCGGGUGUUAAGGUAUCGGGUUCCCCAUCCAAAGACUAGUCAAAAACUUGCGAAACCAACGCUCAGAAUGAAAGGAACCAGAACUAUCCAUUUACUAAAAGCUAUCAGAAGGAGUAUGCUACUUAGAUGUGUGAAGCUUAAAAAGAAUGAAACUGGAUGGAUGACUUGGCAUCAACCUUGGCACCAGAAAUGACAGCAGCAAACUCAGCCCUGUCAACCCUGUACACCUUAAGGUCAAGUGGCUCCAAAAUACAAAUUGCCUUCAUUGCAGCUGCUUUAAGUUGUGAAACAGAUGGAAUGAGACCCAAUUUUGAAGAUUAAAGUUUUGCAACCCCUCUUAGUUUCACGAACCGGUCAUUGCCGAAGACUGGAGCCUGCCGAAGACUGAGGCCUUCUCCAACUUCC